ACGGGGGGUGCGAGCGUUGUCCGGAAUCACUGGGCGUAAAGGGCGCGUAGGUGGUCUGAUAAGGGUGUGGUGAAAGCCCGGGGCUCAACCCCGGGUCGGCCGUGCCGACUGUUGGACUAGAGUGCUGUAGGGGCAGGCGGAAUUCCAGGUGUAGCGGUGAAAUGCGUAGAUAUCUGGAGGAACACCGGUGGCGAAGGCGGCAUCCUGGACCGACACUGACGCUGAGGAGCGAAAGCCAGGGGAGCAAACGGGA
RNAcentral lists this ribosomal RNA (253 nucleotides) under uncultured prokaryote. Its description in RNAcentral is "partial 16S ribosomal RNA". It matches the Rfam family "Bacterial small subunit ribosomal RNA", at positions 525 to 777 of the family's 1533-position model. The record is from RNAcentral.